This 817-nucleotide ribosomal RNA is filed under the name uncultured organism. Its description in RNAcentral is "bacterial SSU rRNA". It matches the Rfam family "Bacterial small subunit ribosomal RNA", at positions 660 to 1475 of the family's 1533-position model. The record is from RNAcentral.
GAGGGAAUUCCCAGUGUACCGGUGAAAUGCGUAGAUAUUGGGAAGAACACCAGUGGCGAAGGCGCUCUACUGGGCCGUAACUGACGCUGAGGGACGAAAGCUAGGGGAGCGAAAGGGAUUAGAUACCCCUGUAGUCCUAGCUGUAAACGAUGGAUACUAGGUGUUGGACGUAUCGACCCGUUCAGUACCGCAGCCAACGCGAUAAGUAUCCCGCCUGGGGAGUACGCACGCAAGUGUGAAACUCAAAGGAAUUGACGGGGGCCCGCACAAGCGGUGGAGUAUGUGGUUUAAUUCGAUGCAACGCGAAGGACCUUACCAGGGCUUGACAUCCCGCGAACCUUGAUGAAAGUCGAGGGUGCCUUCGGGAGCGCGGAGACAGGUGGUGCAUGGCUGUCGUCAGCUCGUGUCGUGAGAUGUUGGGUUAAGUCCCGCAACGAGCGCAACCCACGUCCUUAGUUGCCAUCAUUCAGUUGGGCACUCUGGGGAGACUGCCGGGGACAACUCGGAGGAAGGUGUGGAUGACGUCAAGUCAUCAUGCCCCUUACGUUCUGGGCUACACACGUACUACAAUGCUUCGGACAAAGGGCAGCCAACUAGCGAUAGUGAGCUAAUCCCAUAAACCGAGGCACAGUUCAGAUUGCAGGCUGCAACUCGCCUGCAUGAAGGAGGAAUCGCUAGUAAUCGCCGGUCAGCAUACGGCGGUAAAUACGUUCCCGGGCAUUGUACACACCGCCCGUCACACCAUGGGAGUUGGCCACGCCCGAAGCCGUUACCCUAACCUUUCGAGGAGGGGGGCGUCGAAGGUGGGGCUGAUGAC